GCUUAGAAGCAGCCAUCAUUUAAAGAAAGCGUAAUAGCUCACUGGUCGAGUCGGCCUGCGCGGAAGAUGUAACGGGGCUAAACCAUGCACCGAAGCUGCGGCAGCGACGCUUAUGCGUUGUUGGGUAGGGGAGCGUUCUGUAAGCCUGUGAAGGUGUACUGUGAGGUAUGCUGGAGGUAUCAGAAGUGCGAAUGCUGACAUAAGUAACGAUAAAGCGGGUGAAAAGCCCGCUCGCCGGAAGACCAAGGGUUCCUGUCCAACGUUAAUCGGGGCAGGGUGAGUCGACCCCUAAGGCGAGGCCGAAAGGCGUAGUCGAUGGGAAACAGGUUAAUAUUCCUGUACUUGGUGUUACUGCGAAGGGGGGACGGAGAAGGCUAUGUUGGCCGGGCGACGGUUGUCCCGGUUUAAGCGUGUAGGCUGGUUUUCCAGGCAAAUCCGGAAAAUCAAGGCUGAGGCGUGAUGACGAGGCACUACGGUGCUGAAGCAACAAAUGCCCUGCUUCCAGGAAAAGCCUCUAAGCAUCAGGUAACAUCAAAUCGUACCCCAAACCGACACAGGUGGUCAGGUAGAGAAUACCAAGGCGCUUGAGAGAACUCGGGUGAAGGAACUAGGCAAAAUGGUGCCGUAACUUCGGGAGAAGGCACGCUGAUAUGUAGGUGAAGUCCCUCGCGGAUGGAGCUGAAAUCAGUCGAAGAUACCAGCUGGCUGCAACUGUUUAUUAAAAACACAGCACUGUGCAAACACGAAAGUGGACGUAUACGGUGUGACGCCUGCCCGGUGCCGGAAGGUUAAUUGAUGGGGUUAGCGCAAGCGAAGCUCUUGAUCGAAGCCCCGGUAAACGGCGGCCGUAACUAUAACGGUCCUAAGGUAGCGAAAUUCCUUGUCGGGUAAGUUCCGACCUGCACGAAUGGCGUAAUGAUGGCCAGGCUGUCUCCACCCGAGACUCAGUGAAAUUGAACUCGCUGUGAAGAUGCAGUGUACCCGCGGCAAGACGGAAAGACCCCGUGAACCUUUACUAUAGCUUGACACUGAACAUUGAGCAUUGAUGUGUAGGAUAGGUGGGAGGCUUUGAAGUGUGGACGCCAGUCUGCAUGGAGCCGACCUUGAAAUACCACCCUUUAAUGUUUGAUGUUCUAACGUUGACCCGUAAUCC
RNAcentral lists this ribosomal RNA (1153 nucleotides) under Escherichia coli. Its description in RNAcentral is "partial 23S ribosomal RNA". It matches the Rfam family "Bacterial large subunit ribosomal RNA", at positions 1104 to 2241 of the family's 2925-position model. Lineage: Bacteria; Pseudomonadati; Pseudomonadota; Gammaproteobacteria; Enterobacterales; Enterobacteriaceae. The record is from RNAcentral.